Molecule: transfer RNA, 94 nt
Filed under: Bacillota bacterium
Lineage: Bacteria; Bacillati; Bacillota
Description: Firmicutes bacterium (anaerobic digester metagenome) tRNA-Ser
Rfam family: tRNA
About the family: Transfer RNA (tRNA) molecules are approximately 80 nucleotides in length. Their secondary structure includes four short double-helical elements and three loops (D, anti-codon, and T loops).
Source: RNAcentral
GGAGAGAUGGCCGAGCUGGACGAAGGCGCUCGACUCGAAAUCGAGUAAGUGGUGAUGAGCCGCUUCCAGGGUUCGAAUCCCUGUCUCUCCGCCA